AAUCUAUAGGAUAGGAACAGUAACCAUAGGAGGUAGCAGGAGCUGUAAGAGAUCGGUUAGGUCUCGCGAGGUCUUUUUCCAUUUGUGUUCCUCCCUUGGGCAGGCGAGGCGGGGAGGGGGGGCCCAACAAAACCUAAAUCUUUAUCAAGCCCCUAUUCUGUGGCUUCAACAAACAGAAUCCCGAUUACUUCACGGCGCCUUUUGUUGGCCCUAUACAAAUGAGAACAAAAUGGUUAUUCAGGAAAACGCUUUUCGAUUUGUAUUGUGUGGGGCAUGCACAAAGCGCACUGUUAUUGUAUUAAAAAGAACCAUCUGUAGCAGAAACAAUAGCAUCAAAUUAUCUUUGAAUACCCACUGCAAAAAUAUAAAGCUUUUAUUCUUUAUUCUUAUUCUCCCGAAUAAGAGGGAAGGGGGGGAGGGAAAGAGAGGGGAGAAAAAGCGAGGCAGAAAUGACUUUUUUGUUGUUGUGGGUGCAUUCUUAUAACGCGCGCACACACGCACAAAAUCAGCCAUUUGGAUUUUUUAAGCCAUACCAUAAACGAUUUUCCCUCUCUCUCCCUCUCUCGUUCUUUCUCUCCCUCUGUCUUUCUCUCUCUCCCUCUCUCUCUCUCUCCCCCCCCCCCCUCCCCGUUCUAGGAGCUGCAGUUUAAAGCUAGGAAUAGGACUUGAAGGAUGUGUAGGCAACCAGGCGAGCCGGGAAAGAAAAAAACGAACUGGAUUCACUCUGGAUGGAGUAGAAGAAAGCGCGGGGGGGGGGAGAAGAGGAGCUUCUCAGCAUCUGCGAGUUCCGCUGUCCGGCGGAAAAGUGGCCCAAGCCCCCGAGGCCGGGCGGCACUGAGGAGCCCCCGCGGACUUCGCCUGUCCGUCUACCAAUCAGACGACUUCCGAGCCAACAGCCCGAAUUGGCAGAAACCUGUGAGGGCCAAGAGGUUAAAGAAGAACCCAAACAGACCUCAGCCUACAGCCGCAGGGGGCUGUGGUACUUCGGACAUGUCAAGAGAAGAACGCCCCCCCCCGAAAAAGACCAACGGAAAGCAGCAGGGAGAGCGGAAGACUAACCAAUGGAUGGAAUGAGCCUAAGGAAGCCACCGCCUUGAGUCCCGCAAGACCUGAACAGGGGCUGCUAGUCACGGUAAGGCUUUUCGGAGAUCCUGAACUCGUCGGCUCUCUACAAUUCGGAAAUGCGGCCCUUCUCUGUUGUAGCUUGCUUUCUUUAAUGCCAGUCAGCCCUCGUCCAACGGGGCUGGGGAGACAGAGGGGGACGCGGUCGGACAAGGGCUGACUCGUAUUAGAGCGAAAUCAGAUGGACUGGCUCGCCUUUCUGUUCUUGCCUCCCCGCCCUUAGACUAGCUCCAGCGGUUCUCAACCCAGGCCCCCCAGAUGUUCUUGGACUACAACUCCCAGAAAUCCUGGCCAGAACAGCAAGUGGUGAAGGCUUCUGAGAACUUUAGUCCAAGAAGAUCUGGGGACCUCAGAAGCCUGUCG
Molecule: long non-coding RNA, 1485 nt
Filed under: Pogona vitticeps (central bearded dragon)
Lineage: Eukaryota; Metazoa; Chordata; Lepidosauria; Squamata; Agamidae
Description: lncRNA (ENSPVIG00000016106.1)
Rfam family: SOX2 overlapping transcript exon 3 (bases 645-915)
Source: RNAcentral